Molecule: ribosomal RNA, 271 nt
Filed under: uncultured bacterium
Lineage: Bacteria
Description: partial 16S ribosomal RNA
Rfam family: Bacterial small subunit ribosomal RNA
Source: RNAcentral
UCCUCCUACGGGACGCAGCAGUGGGGGAUAUUGCACAAUGGGGGGAACCCUGAUGCAGCGACGCCGCGUGGGUGAAGAAGCGCCUCGGCGCGUAAAGCCCUGUCAGCAGGGAAGAAAAUGACGGUACCUGAAGAAGAAGCCCCGGCUAACUACGUGCCAGCAGCCGCGAUAAUACGUAGGGAGCAAGCGUUGUCCGGAAUUACUGGGUGUAAAGGGAGCGUAGGCGGGGAUGCAAGUUGGGUGUCAAAACUAUCGGCUCAACCGAUAGUCG